ACAACGCGACCCCAGGU
RNAcentral lists this ribosomal RNA (17 nucleotides) under Ficus oligodon. Its description in RNAcentral is "partial 28S ribosomal RNA". The record is from RNAcentral. Lineage: Eukaryota; Viridiplantae; Streptophyta; Magnoliopsida; Rosales; Moraceae.